RNAcentral lists this ribosomal RNA (253 nucleotides) under uncultured bacterium. RNAcentral's name for it is "partial 16S ribosomal RNA". It matches the Rfam family "Bacterial small subunit ribosomal RNA", at positions 524 to 776 of the family's 1533-position model. The record is from RNAcentral.
UACGUAGGGCGCAAGCGUUGUCCGGAAUUAUUGGGCGUAAAGAGCUUGUAGGUGGCUUGUCGCGUCUGCUGUGGAAACGCAACGCUUAACGUUGCGCGUGCAGUGGGUACGGGCUGACUAGAGUGCAGUAGGGGAGUCUGGAAUUCCUGGUGUAGCGGUGAAAUGCGCAGAUAUCAGGAGGAACACCGGUGGCGAAGGCGGGACUCUGGGCCAUUACUGACACUGAGAAGCGAAAGCAUGGGGAGCGAACAGG